RNAcentral lists this ribosomal RNA (389 nucleotides) under uncultured bacterium. RNAcentral's name for it is "bacterial SSU rRNA". It matches the Rfam family "Bacterial small subunit ribosomal RNA", at positions 141 to 525 of the family's 1533-position model. The record is from RNAcentral.
GGAUAACGCGUCGAAAGAUGUGCUAAUACCGCAUACGCACUAUGGCGGAAAGCGGGGGAUCGCAAGACCUCGCGCUAUUAGAGCGGCCGAUGCCCGAUUAGCUAGUUGGUGAGGUAAAGGCCCACCAAGGCGACGAUCGGUAGCUGGUCUGAGAGGAUGAUCAGCCACACUGGGACUGAGACACGGCCCAGACUCCUACGGGAGGCAGCAGUGGGGAAUUUUGGACAAUGGGCGCAAGCCUGAUCCAGCCAUGCCGCGUGAGUGAAGAAGGCCUUCGGGUUGUAAAGCUCUUUCGGCCGGAACGAAAUCGUCCGGGCUAAUACCCCUGACGGAUGACGGUACCGGAAGAAGAAGCACCGGCUAACUACGUGCCAGCAGCCGCGGUAAUA